Anolis carolinensis (green anole) is the source of this 3309-nucleotide RNA transcript. It is a transcript of the gene named OX-2 membrane glycoprotein, with no coding region annotated. NCBI's taxonomy places the organism in Eukaryota, Metazoa, Chordata, Lepidosauria, Squamata, Anolidae. The transcript has 8 exons. The record is from RefSeq and is a predicted model, not a curated record.
CCUCAGUCUUCAGUGGGAGGAGCUCUACAAGGGCAGAUUUUUUUCUGUGCUUCUCUGACUGACCUAUGGCUUCUUCUACGCUUUUAGCUCAAGGCAGCAGCUGUACUUGGAUGCACUCUUCUUUCCACAUUGCAGUAACAUGCCUCCCAAGGUGAAAGAAGGUAAUUGUUCUUUGUGGAUUUUCCAGAACCUAAUUGGGUGUAUCAUACUUACAGAGCUCUGUAGAAUACAAGGUGCCAUAAUUACACACAACAAAGAUGUGGAACUGGGUGGCAAAGCUACCUUGAGAUGUACACCAUCAAAACUGUAUGAGACUACUCAAGUUACAUGGCAGAAACAAAUGAAUGGAAGCCUUGUAAAUAUUGCAGUGUAUCAUAAUGUAAGAGGUCCGAAAAUUGUUCUGCCAGACGCACAAUUCAAUUUCACAGUUUUAGGAGUUAAUGAAACUGCAAUCACCUUUUGGAAUGCCAGCAUCCAAGAUAAUGGGUGCUACCAAUGCAUAUUUAAUACAUUUCCCUUGGGGCCUGUCACAGGGAAACCCUGUCUUUCUGUUUAUGCUCACCUCAACACCUUUAUACACUAUAAAACUUCUAAAACACAUACAGAUGCCACCUGCUUUGCAACUAGCUUCCCACAUCCUCAGAUCUCAUGGCUCACACAAGGAGGCAAAAUGAAUGAGAAACAGGUCACAAAUCCUAAUGGCACAGUGUCUGUCAUGAGCAGCAUCUUUCUAAAUACCUCAGAAAGCCAAGUUGGACAAGAACUGAUCUGUAGAGUUAAACACCGAGGAAAAGAAGUAGACCUCAAGCUGGCACUACCAGGAAGAGGUCACAGUCAUAAAAAUCAUGCGGUUCUAAUCCUUCUGUCCAUAAUGCCUAUGGUCCUUCCUAUGAAUUAGAUACAUCGCUUGAGGCUACAAAUCAUAAUGCCGCUCCUGAAUGAAUACACAAGACUAGCUGUGUUGUCACCAGAAAGUUUACUGCAGGAAACAUCGACAUGGAAAAAGCCAAGAAUGGGAGGCGUCUGCCAGCAUUCCUUUUUAUACCCUCCCCCCUCAUUUGAAAAUGCAUUUCCCACCCAACAAAACCCCGCGAAGUUUCCCCGCCAAGUCCAGCAGCCGUUUCUUCUCAGGAUCCCGAGAUGCAGAUGGGGAACUCAAAGCAGUUUCUAAACAUAUUAUGACAAAAUUUGAAUCAUAGAAUAGUAGAGUUGGAAGAGACCUCAUGGGCCAUCCAGUCCAACCCCCCGCCAAGAAGCAGGAAAUCGCAUUCAAAGCACCCCCGACAGAUGGCCAUCCAGCCUCUGCUUAAAAGCCUCCAAAGAAGGAGCCUCCACCACAGUCCGGGGGAGAGAGUUCCACUGCCAAACAGCUCACAGUGAGGAAGUUCGUCCUGAUGUUCAGGUUUCAAAGGGAUGCUUCAAUCAACCUCAACAUUUCGUUCCAUAAAAUUGACAAACAAAGGACCUAGGAGAUGGUACCAAUCUAGACUAAAUUGGCUAGACUGCAUUUUAAGACUAAAAAGUAAUGAUCCACCAAUCGAGUCUGGGAAAAGGAGGAAAGAUGACAGAGAAAACACUGGAAGCUAGAAGUGAUAUUGUUUUGAACCCUUAGAAAAACCGAGUGAAUUAAUUAUAUCAAUUUCAGAUGUAUGAAAGAAAUAUGGGUGAAGAGCCUUAUUGAAUCUUACAUUUUCUAUGAUGAUUGAUUCCUAGCAUUAUUUGUAACUGUGUUACAUGGCAAUUUCUUCUUUUACAUGGCCUCCACCCAAUGGUUCAGGUAGUUAAUCUGAGAAUUCGGAGUUGUGUCUUUUAUUCCCCUGCCUUUAUAGAUGAUUAUCAAUAUUAAUUAACUUAAUUUACUUCAGAAUCAGGUAGACCUCCCAUACAAUGUUUCGGGGUCUUUCUACAAAUGCUGCUAAGGGCUUUCUGCUUAAAAGCCUAUCCUCACAACACCAUUGCCUUCAUUAUAGUCUCCUUAUGUGACUACCUCUAGCAUUAAAAAAACCCCCAAAAUAUCCAACCCUUGCACUAAUUAUGGAAACACUUACAGAGGUUUUUUGAGAUUUUUUAUGGGAUUUACAUUAUAGUUUGCAUUUUUUUUACUCUUUCAAUUAAAUGUCACCUCAAAGUUGAGGAAUAUUCAGCAAAUACACAUGUACAUAAUUUAAAUAUAGAUAAUACUUUCAGAUAUCUAUGCAAAGGAACUGUAUCAAUGCCGUUUGGGAGGCUGUGCACUUAAUGGUCAUCUAAUCAGAAAAAGGAAUAAAGAAGGGAAACACUUUGUCAAAUAUAUUUGUAUUUAUGUCUUCACAAUAUGCAAACUAGUAGAACACUGUUCAUUAGUUGUAACGAAAAUAUCCCUAUUGAAUAACAUUGAAUAAUAUGUCUGUAAAGCUAAUUGAUUCAACGGUUUUUUCUCUAUUUGGGACUAAACCAGGAUUUAGACUAACACAGUUAAGUUGGUAAUCUUAACUGGAACUUUCUUUCAGUUUCUUCAGCUAUGUAAAAUAAUUGAUAUGAUAAAGACAGAAAUAUGACAACCUGCUGAAAUUAAAUUUACAUUUCCUCAGCUUGAUGUACAGAAGAGCAUUUUGAAAGUUAUCUAUUUCACAUAUAACUAUGAAUUUAACAUUAAGUUUAACAAUGAUUUUCAAAGGAUUACACUUCUGUGAAUUUUCUACAUUGACUCAAGCAGGAUCCAAAAAGUUCUCCCCGGAGGGACUCAACUGCUCAGAUUUCCUCCAGGGAGAGAUGGCAGGACAUAAAUAAAUAAAUUGUUGUUGUUAUUGUUGUUGUUGUUAUUUCACAAAGGAUUCUGGGAAGGCUAGUCUUAGCAAGCCCUGCUAGCUCCUUUGUCAUUCUUUGUGAACUUUAUGUUAAAUUAGAAGAUAUUUAGCAGUUUUCUGUGACUGAACCACAGCAAAGUUUCACUAUUAACUGAGUUUCACUUAUCUGCCAUUAUAAUUUAUGUGUACCUUUGCUAAGGGAUUGUGGCCAAGAAGGAAAAGACAGACACCAACCAUAGGUCUGAACCUGACGACUUCAAGUUUUGUUCAGGGAGGCUUUGGGCAACUGAUCAAACUGCUGAGAAAGAGAUUUUAACAGAUGGGUCUUGUAUUUUUUUAAAAAUUGCUGUGUUAAAAAUUGCUUAUGAAUUUAAAUUGUUAUAAUUUUAAGAUACAAUUGAAUUGAUGUAGUAAAUGUUUUGGUAUCAUUUCAGUCCAUAUUGAAAGCUGCUCUGUUUUAUGAUGGGAUCAUACAUCAAAAUAAAUAAUUAAAUAAAAAUAAUAAUUAAAACUUCUUAAUAUA